CUUCAGCGAGCCGAGCCACAGUGGACGGUCCCCGGGGCGGCCUUGCCCGUAGGUGGCUAGCAGGGCUUGGGCUUC
RNAcentral lists this antisense RNA (75 nucleotides) under Actinokineospora iranica. Its description in RNAcentral is "ASpks TB sRNA". It matches the Rfam family "ASpks TB sRNA". Lineage: Bacteria; Bacillati; Actinomycetota; Actinomycetes; Pseudonocardiales; Pseudonocardiaceae. The record is from Rfam by way of RNAcentral.